This 36-nucleotide ribosomal RNA is filed under the name Flammulina fennae. RNAcentral's name for it is "partial 28S ribosomal RNA". RNAcentral also lists the same sequence under 5 other names. The record is from RNAcentral. Lineage: Eukaryota; Fungi; Basidiomycota; Agaricomycetes; Agaricales; Physalacriaceae.
UUUGACCUCAAAUCAGGUAGGACUACCCGCUGAACU